Molecule: long non-coding RNA, 210 nt
Organism: Dendronephthya gigantea
Lineage: Eukaryota; Metazoa; Cnidaria; Anthozoa; Malacalcyonacea; Nephtheidae
Exons: 3
Source: RefSeq, a predicted model, not a curated record
AUAACUGCGGUAUAUAUGUUUGCUAUUUUGGACAAUGUCUCAUCCAAGGGGCAAAUAUGACGAAGCAACUUCGACCAGUUGAUUUGGCUAUUCAACGCCAACACAUAUUUGAAACCUUAUGUGGGUCAUGCUACGAUGACAUUGACAGUGGACGAAAUGCAAGUGUCUGCAAAAUCUGCAGGGGGGAUGGUGGAGGUGACUGGCUGGGUU